CAGCCGCCGCGGUAAUUCCAGCUCCAAGAGCGUAUGUAAAAGUUGUUGCAGUUAAAAAGCUCGUAGUUGAACCUUGGGUUUGGUUGCCGGUCCGCUUCUUUGCGAGUACUGGAUUCAACCGAGCCUUUCCUUCUGGGAACUAGUCGUUCUGCGGCUAGUGUACCAGGACUUUUACUUUGAGAAAAUUAGAGUGUUCAAAGCAGGCAUUAGCUUGAAUAUAUUAGCAUGGAAUAAUAGAAUAGGACGUUAUGGUUCUAUUUUGUUGGUUUCUAGGACCAUCGUAAUGAUUAAUAGGGACGGUCGGGGGCAUCAGUAUUCAGUUGUCAGAGGUGAAAUUCUUGGAUUUACUGAAGACUAACUACUGCGAAAGCAUUUGCCAAGGACGUUUUCAUUAAUCAAGAACGAAAGUUAGGGGAUCGAAGAUGAUCAGAUACCGUCGUAGUCUUAACCAUAAACUAUGCCGACUAGGGAUCGGGUGUUGUCCUUUUUUUGGCGCACUCGGCACCUUACGAGAAAUCAAAGUUUUUGGGUUCUGGGGGGAGUAUGGUCGCAAGGCUG
RNAcentral lists this ribosomal RNA (558 nucleotides) under Pichia sp. Dp-Y5. Its description in RNAcentral is "SSU rRNA". It matches the Rfam family "Eukaryotic small subunit ribosomal RNA", at positions 568 to 1139 of the family's 1831-position model. Lineage: Eukaryota; Fungi; Ascomycota; Pichiomycetes; Pichiales; Pichiaceae. The record is from RNAcentral.